GAUGAAGAACGUAGCGAAAUGCGAUAAGUAAUGCGAAUUGCAGAAUCCGUGAGUCAUCGAAUCUUUGAACGCAUAUUGCGCCCUUUGGCAUUCCGAAGGGCAUGCCUGUUCGAGCGUCAUUAUCACCCCUCAAGCCCCGGCUUGGUGUUGGGCCCCCGGUGGUCGUACCCGACCACCCGCCUCAAAGAUAGUGACGGCGUCCCAGAGGGAACCGGUACGAGGAGCUUUCACGAGCAUGUACGCGGGGACGACUCCGUGGGCGACGGUCUUUUUUAACCUUAAUAUAUCAAGUGUUGACCUCGGAUCAGGUAGGAAUACCCGCUGAACUUAAGCAUAUCAAUAAGCGGAGGA
This 351-nucleotide unclassified non-coding RNA is filed under the name soil metagenome. RNAcentral describes it as "partial contains 5.8S ribosomal RNA, internal transcribed spacer 2, and large subunit ribosomal RNA". The stretch from base 1 to 119 matches the Rfam family "5.8S ribosomal RNA", at positions 35 to 154 of the family's 154-position model. The record is from RNAcentral.